This 460-nucleotide ribosomal RNA is filed under the name uncultured bacterium. RNAcentral's name for it is "partial 16S ribosomal RNA". It matches the Rfam family "Bacterial small subunit ribosomal RNA", at positions 338 to 795 of the family's 1533-position model. The record is from RNAcentral.
CCUACGGGUGGCAGCAGUGAGGAAUAUUGGUCAAUGGGCGUAAGCCUGAACCAGCCAAGUCGCGUGAGGGAUGAAGGUCCUAUGGAUUGUAAACCUCUUUUAUAAGGGAAUAAAGUGCGGGACGUGUCCCGUUUUGUAUGUACCUUAUGAAUAAGGAUCGGCUAACUCCGUGCCAGCAGCCGCGGUAAUACGGAGGAUCCGAGCGUUAUCCGGAUUUAUUGGGUUUAAAGGGUGCGUAGGCGGCCUUUUAAGUCAGCGGUGAAAGUCUGUGGCUCAACCAUAGAAUUGCCGUUGAAACUGGGAGGCUUGAGUAUGUUUGAGGCAGGCGGAAUGCGUGGUGUAGCGGUGAAAUGCUUAGAUAUCACGCAGAACCCCGAUUGCGAAGGCAGCCUGCCAAGCCAUGACUGACGCUGAUGCACGAAAGCGUGGGUAUCAAACAGGAUUAGAUACCCCUGUAGUC